GAUGAACGCUGGCAGCGUGCUUAACACAUGCAAGUCGAACGAAGCAUUUGCGACAGAUUUUUUCGGAAUGAAGUUGCUUAUGACUGAGUGGCGGACGGGUGAGUAACGCGUGGGUAACCUGCCUUGUACUGGGGGAUAGCAGCUGGAAACGGCUGGUAAUACCGCAUAAGCGCACAAUGUUGCAUGACAUGGUGUGAAAAACUCCGGUGGUAUAAGAUGGACCCGCGUCUGAUUAGCUAGUUGGUGAGAUAACAGCCCACCAAGGCGACGAUCAGUAGCCGACCUGAGAGGGUGACCGGCCACAUUGGGACUGAGACACGGCCCAGACUCCUACGGGAGGCAGCAGUGGGGAAUAUUGCACAAUGGAGGAAACUCUGAUGCAGCGACGCCGCGUGAGUGAAGAAGUAAUUCGUUAUGUAAAGCUCUAUCAGCAGGGAAGAUAGUGACGGUACCUGACUAAGAAGCUCCGGCUAAAUACGUG
RNAcentral lists this ribosomal RNA (481 nucleotides) under uncultured bacterium. Its description in RNAcentral is "partial 16S ribosomal RNA". It matches the Rfam family "Bacterial small subunit ribosomal RNA", at positions 28 to 507 of the family's 1533-position model. The record is from RNAcentral.